CCGGGGGAUAACACCUGGAAACAGAUGCUAAUACCGCAUAACAACUUGGACCGCAUGGUCCGAGUUUGAAAGAUGGCUUCGGCUAUCACUUUUGGAUGGUCCCGCGGCGUAUUAGCUAGAUGGUGGGGUAACGGCUCACCAUGGCAAUGAUACGUAGCCGACCUGAGAGGGUAAUCGGCCACAUUGGGACUGAGACACGGCCCAAACUCCUACGGGAGGCAGCAGUAGGGAAUCUUCCACAAUGGACGAAAGUCUGAUGGAGCAACGCCGCGUGAGUGAAGAAGGGUUUCGGCUCGUAAAACUCUGUUGUUAAAGAAGAACAUAUCUGAGAGUAACUGUUCAGGUAUUGACGGUAUUUAACCAGAAAGCCACGGCUAACUACGUGCCAGCAGCCGCGGUAAUACGUAGGUGGCAAGCGUUGUCCGGAUUUAUUGGGCGUAAAGCGAGCGCAGGCGGUUUUUUAAGUCUGAUGUGAAAGCCUUCGGCUCAACCGAAGAAGUGCAUCGGAAACUGGGAAACUUGAGUGCAGAAGAGGACAGUGGAACUCCAUGUGUAGCGGUGAAAUGCGUAGAUAUAUGGAAGAACACCAGUGGCGAAGGCGGCUGUCUGGUCUGUAACUGACGCUGAGGCUCGAAAGUAUGGGUAGCAAACAGGAUUAGAUACCCUGGUAGUCCAUACCGUAAACGAUGAAUGCUAAGUGUUGGAGGGUUUCCGCCCUUCAGUGCUGCAGCUAACGCAUUAAGCAUUCCGCCUGGGGAGUACGGCCGCAAGGCUGAAACUCAAAGGAAUUGACGGGGGCCCGCACAAGCGGUGGAGCAUGUGGUUUAAUUCGAAGCUACGCGAAGAACCUUACCAGGUCUUGACAUACUAUGCAAAUCUAAGAGAUUAGACGUUCCCUUCGGGGACAUGGAUACAGGUGGUGCAUGGUUGUCGUCAGCUCGUGUCGUGAGAUGUUGGGUUAAGUCCCGCAACGAGCGCAACCCUUAUUAUCAGUUGCCAGCAUUAAGUUGGGCACUCUGGUGAGACUGCCGGUGACAAACCGGAGGAAGGUGGGGAUGACGUCAAAUCAUCAUGCCCCUUAUGACCUGGGCUACACACGUGCUACAAUGGAUGGUACAACGAGUUGCGAACUCGCGAGAGUAAGCUAAUCUCUUAAAGCCAUUCUCAGUUCGGAUUGUAGGCUGCAACUCGCCUACAUGAAGUCGGAAUCGCUAGUAAUCGCGGAUCAGCAUGCCGCGGUGAAUACGUUCCCGGGCCUUGUAC
RNAcentral lists this ribosomal RNA (1263 nucleotides) under Lactiplantibacillus plantarum. RNAcentral's name for it is "bacterial SSU rRNA". It matches the Rfam family "Bacterial small subunit ribosomal RNA", at positions 136 to 1386 of the family's 1533-position model. The record is from RNAcentral. Lineage: Bacteria; Bacillati; Bacillota; Bacilli; Lactobacillales; Lactobacillaceae.